CAAAAGAGUGGGAGGAUCUUUGAGUAGAGGUGAUAAACCUACCGAGCAUAGUAAUAGCUGGUUGCCUGUGAAAUGAAUAGAAGUUCAGCUUUUUAAAACUUCCCCCCUCUUUUAUGCAAGAGCUAAAAUUGAUUAAGGAAAUUAAAAAAGUUAAUCAGAAGGGGUACAGCCCUUCCGAUAAAAGAAACAACUUUAGUAGGUGCUAAAAGAACAUAUUACACAAGGAACUCAAACUAAGUGGGCCUAAAAGCAGCCAUCUUAUUAGAAAGCGUCGAAGCUCAAAUUGAAUCUACCCCCUUAUAUUCUGCUAUUAAAUCUACCCCCCUACCUUCUACCAGGCCUUCUUACAAACGUAAGAUAGAUUAUGCUAAAAUGAGUAAUAAGAAGAAACUAUUCUUCUCCUUAGCACACGUGUAAAUCAGAAUGGACCAUCCACUGACUAUUAAUCGGCCCCCCACUCAGAGGGCAGUAAGUUAAAAAAACAAGAAAAAUACUUAUUAAAAACCGUUAAUCCUACACAGGAGUGCAUCCUGGAAAGACUAAAAGAAAAGGAAGGAACUCGGCAAACCAAGCCUCGCCUGUUUACCAAAAACAUCGCCUCUUGCUUUAAAAAUAUAAGAGGUCCCGCCUGCCCUGUGACUAAUAGUUUAACGGCCGCGGUAUUUUAACCGUGCAAAGGUAGCGUAAUCACUUGUCUUUUAAAUGAAGACCCGUAUGAAUGGCAUCACGAGGGCUUAGCUGUCUCCCUUUUCCAGUCAAUGAAAUUGACCUCCCCGUGCAGAGGCGGGGAUAAACACAUAAGACGAGAAGACCCUGUGGAGCUUUAGACCUAAAAUAAGCUACGUUUAACAGCCUGUAAAAUCAGAAAUAACUUAGUAGUUUUUAUUGAAGUGUCUUUGGUUGGGGCGACCGAGGGGUAAAACACAACCCCCAUGUGGACCGGGGAUACUAUCCCUAAUACCAAGGGCCUCCCCCCCAAGUAACAGAACUUCUGACCUUAUGAUCCGGCACAGCCGAUUAACGAACCGAGUUACCCCAGGGAUAACAGCGCAAUCCCCUCUAAGAGCCCAUAUCGACGAGGGGGUUU
This 1087-nucleotide ribosomal RNA is filed under the name Muraenolepis orangiensis (Patagonian moray cod). RNAcentral's name for it is "partial 16S ribosomal RNA". It matches the Rfam family "Bacterial large subunit ribosomal RNA", at positions 792 to 2519 of the family's 2925-position model. The record is from RNAcentral. Lineage: Eukaryota; Metazoa; Chordata; Actinopteri; Gadiformes; Muraenolepididae.